UAGGGAAUCUUCGUCAAUGGACGAAAGUCUGACCGAGCAACGCCGCGUGAGUGAAGAAGGUUUUCGGAUCGUAAAACUCUGUUGUUAGAGAAGAACAAGGACGUUAGUAACUGAACGUCCCCUGACGGUAUCUAACCAGAAAGCCACGGCUAACUACGUGCCAGCAGCCGCGGUAAUACGUAGGUGGCAAGCGUUGUCCGGAUUUAUUGGGCGUAAAGCGAGCGCAGGCGGUUUCUUAAGUCUGAUGUGAAAGCCCCCGGCUCAACCGGGGAGGGUCAUUGGAAACUGGGAGACUUGAGUGCAGAAGAGGAGAGUGGAAUUCCAUGUGUAGCGGUGAAAUGCGUAGAUAUAUGGAGGAACACCAGUGGCGAAGGCGGCUCUCUGGUCUGUAACUGACGCUGAGGCUCGAAAGCGUGGGGAGCAAACAGG
This 429-nucleotide ribosomal RNA is filed under the name Gemmatimonadota bacterium. Its description in RNAcentral is "Gemmatimonadetes bacterium partial 16S ribosomal RNA". It matches the Rfam family "Bacterial small subunit ribosomal RNA", at positions 355 to 776 of the family's 1533-position model. Lineage: Bacteria; Pseudomonadati; Gemmatimonadota. The record is from RNAcentral.